Molecule: ribosomal RNA, 468 nt
Filed under: uncultured bacterium
Lineage: Bacteria
Description: partial 16S ribosomal RNA
Rfam family: Bacterial small subunit ribosomal RNA
Source: RNAcentral
GACGAACGCUGGCGGCGUGCUUAACACAUGCAAGUCGAACGGAAAGGCCAUGCGCUUGUGCGUUUCUCGUUUGGCGAACAGGUGAGUAAAACGUGUGUAACCUGCCCCUAACUUUGUGAUAUAUUCACGGAACAGGGGCUCUAAUCCCAGAUGAGAUCCUGCUGCAUGUUGGGGGACGGAAAAUUUCGGCGGUUCGGGAUGGACUCGCUGCUUAUCAGCUUGUUGGUGGGGUAGUGGCUGACCAAGGCUACGACGGGUAGGCGGCCUGAGAGGGUGAACGGCCACAUUGGGACUGAGGUACGGCGCAGACGCCAACGGGCGGCAGCAGUGGAGAAUAUUGCGCAGUGGGGGGAAGUGUGAUGAAGCGACGCCGCGUGCGGGAUGACGGCCUUCGGGUUGAGAACCGCUUUCGCAUGUGCCGAAGAGUUAGUGACGGUAAUGGGUAAAGAAGCACCGGCUAACUACGUG